GCCUGGGUGGCUCAGUCGGUUAAGCGUCCGACUUCGGCUCGGGUCAUGAUCUCACAGUCCGUGGGUUCGAGCCCCGCGUCAGGCU
RNAcentral lists this transfer RNA (85 nucleotides) under Felis catus (domestic cat). It matches the Rfam family "tRNA". From Rfam's summary of the family: Transfer RNA (tRNA) molecules are approximately 80 nucleotides in length. Lineage: Eukaryota; Metazoa; Chordata; Mammalia; Carnivora; Felidae. The record is from Rfam by way of RNAcentral.